RNAcentral lists this transfer RNA (67 nucleotides) under Otiorhynchus rugosostriatus. RNAcentral describes it as "tRNA-Ser". The record is from RNAcentral. Lineage: Eukaryota; Metazoa; Arthropoda; Insecta; Coleoptera; Curculionidae.
AAUUAAUGAACUUGUAUAAGUAUAUAUUUUGAAAAUAUAAAAAAGAGGAAUAAUCCUCUAUUAAUUU